GGUUCAGAAAAUCGUCACUGGCGGUGUUGGCCACGAGCGGGAAUGGAACUCGGCUGGUCGGGUGCAGAGCGCAGCGCUCACCACGUCACUGCCGCUCCCCUUGUCAACGAACUUGAACUCUGACCCCGCUCUCUGACGUCAACGCUCAGCGUGACCUCAUCGGCGUCAAACGCGAGGGGGAGAUGUGCCUCGCAAGUGACGUCAUGUCACCCACCCUGACCACCGCGCUCUUGAGCGUGACGUCACCUCCGCUCGGCCGCUGCCGAUAUCUUCCAGUGCCAAUCCUUAUUUGGGCAAAGCCACGCCCGGUGACUGGCGGAUCAUUAACAUAAUUUAUUUGUCAAAGCCUUCGCGAGUUUCGAGCCGCUCAUCGUGGGAGGGGAGUGUUGUCGUACCCCGCAAGUGACGUCAUGUCACCUGCUGCCGCGUGACGUCGCGAGGUAACAGGAAGUUGCCACUCCGCCUUGGCACUUAAAUCCGAGGCCAAGCCCGCGUUGAGCUGCUAUACCGCUCUUGUUUUCAGAAGCGACCUGCCCACAACAACAACAACAACGAGCUGACGCUUCCUCUGUAGCUUCCUCUGGAGAAUGUCUGAUGGAGCAAAGGCACUCGGCACAGCUCCGUACCACAAGGCAUCAAUGCGACCGGUGUGCAUUCAGCACGGAUCGUCCUGCACAUUUGGCACGGCACCAGAGAAUUCACACAGGAGAGAAACCCUUCAAGUGCAGUGUGUGUGGGAAGGAAUUUGCAUGGUCAUCUGCUUUUAAAAAACACCAGAGAACACACACAGGAGAGAAACCCUUCAAGUGCAGUAUGUGUGGGAA
Molecule: non-coding RNA, 824 nt
Organism: Petromyzon marinus (sea lamprey)
Lineage: Eukaryota; Metazoa; Chordata; Hyperoartia; Petromyzontiformes; Petromyzontidae
Source: RefSeq, a predicted model, not a curated record